This 776-nucleotide unclassified non-coding RNA is filed under the name Hevea brasiliensis (rubber tree). The record is from RNAcentral. Lineage: Eukaryota; Viridiplantae; Streptophyta; Magnoliopsida; Malpighiales; Euphorbiaceae.
UAUAUAUAUAUAUAUAUAUAUACAAAUGGCUUUGGUGUUCAUUGAUUUUUUUUUUUUUUAACUGAUCCAUCCAACGUUCAUUUUUGCACCACAUAUUAGUGUAAAUCUCCUAAGCAUGAUAACCAUAAGAUCCAGUGCUAGGUGCCUGUAUUUUUUGUUCUUUUCUAUCUCUCGCUUCAAUUUUUUUUUUUUUAAGUGUUGAGAAAUAAAUAACAUUUGAUGAGAUUAGAACCCAACGUAGUCAUAGCCUCACUUAGGCAAAAAGAAUUUUUUUUUUUUCCCCAUAAUUUAGAGAAAAGGUUUAUCUAAAUUAAAUAACCCCCAAAAAUUCUUGUAAAAAAAAAAAAGAGAAAUUAUUAGCAUCCAUAUCGUACUCCAGCAUGGUUUCAAUAAAUAUUACAGUUGAGUUAUAGGCUCCAAAAAUAUUAAAAAUAUGGAAUGAUAUGUUGUUUACGUACGUUGUUGAUAAAAAGAUAUUUAUUAUUUAACCAGGUGGAGAUUUAGAAGUUAGCAGAAUCUCUGUUAAGGAGUUGGAGAUUUGAAUUUCACAAGAUGGAACAAGGGUUAGUGGAGUGUAUUGAAUAUGUACACGUAGAACUAAAAUUAAUUAAAUGCAGUGAUCCGAUAGAUAUGAUAUGGAGAAAUUAAUGCAAGAUGAUCGUAGAGGAGAGAGGAUAGAUACCAAAAAAGCUGCACAGGAAGCAAAAGCAAUGGUUCUAAACCUGCCCACAUAGGAAUCGGAGAUGAAAGCACCAAGCAGAGGAGCAAAAUUGGUU